Molecule: long non-coding RNA, 532 nt
Filed under: Rattus norvegicus (Norway rat)
Lineage: Eukaryota; Metazoa; Chordata; Mammalia; Rodentia; Muridae
Description: long non-coding RNA NONRATT024822
Source: RNAcentral
GCAGACCAGAGUCUAGCAUAAAUGUCUUCAAAGAAGCUCUACCCAUCAGCUAUGACUCAGACAACUGCAGCAUUUACAGCCAAACAGUAGAUGGAAAUUGAAUACUCUUAUGGAAGAAUAGGGGAAAGGCUGCAAACUGAAGGGAAUAGGAACUCUAUAGGAAGACCAUCAGAGUCUGGACCCUCAGAGAUUGAACUAAUGACCAAAGAGCAUACACAGGCUGGACCUGGGCUUCAUUGCUCAUAUGUAACAGAUGUGCAGCUUGGUCUUCAUGUGGGUCCUGAACAACUGGAAUGGGGUCUAUCCCAAAAGCUGUUGUCUCUGUGUGCGUUAUGUUCUUCUAGCUGGGCUGCCUGGUCUGGCCACAGUGGGAGAGGAUGUACCUAGACUUGCAGAGACUUGAUAUGCCAGGGUGGGGCAAUAACCAGAGGAGAAGGGGAUGGGGACGGGGUGAAGGAUGCUGGAAGAGGGUUACUGGGGGGAGGCAGUGAGCUGGAUAUAAAGUGAAUAAGUAAAAAUAAACAAACAAGUU